GAUGCAUAUUCCAAUGUCAAUAGUUGAGCAAAAUUUACCAUUAAAUGGCAUGCCUUCCCCUCAGUGAAUUUUAUUCAUCUUUCAGCCAAAAAUUAUAUACGUUUUGAAAUUCAUGAUGGGAUGCCAUGUACAAAUUCACAAAGCAUAUCUCUUCAACUAGAAAAAUCACUUUAUCUAGCGAAUUUUACCUUAUACUGUAUUUCUCACAUUUUUACCAUGGACCCUCAU
RNAcentral lists this unclassified non-coding RNA (228 nucleotides) under Hevea brasiliensis (rubber tree). The record is from RNAcentral. Lineage: Eukaryota; Viridiplantae; Streptophyta; Magnoliopsida; Malpighiales; Euphorbiaceae.